GACGAACGCUGGCGGCGUGCUUAACACAUGCAAGUCGAACGGAAAGGCCCUGCUUUUGUGGGGUGCUCGAGUGGCGAACGGGUGAGUAACACGUGAGUAACCUGCCCUUGACUUUGUGAUAACUUCAGGAAACUGGGGCGAAUACCGGAUAGGAGCUCCUGCUGCAUGGUGGGGGUUGGAAAGUUUCGGCGGUUGGGGAUGGACUCGCGGCUUAUGAGCUUGUUGGUGGGGUAGUGGCUUACAAAGGCUUUGACGGGUAGCCGGCCUGAGAGGGUGGCCGGCCACCUUGGGACUGAGAUACGGCCCAGGCUCCUACGGGAGGCAGCAGUGGGGAAUAUUGCGCAAUGGGCGGAAGCCUGAUGCAGCAACGCCGCGUGCGGGAUGACGGCCUUCGGGUUGUAAACCGCUUUCGCCUGUGCCGAAGCGUGAGUGACGGUAAUGGGUAAAGAAGCACCGGCUAACUACGUG
Molecule: ribosomal RNA, 468 nt
Filed under: uncultured bacterium
Lineage: Bacteria
Description: partial 16S ribosomal RNA
Rfam family: Bacterial small subunit ribosomal RNA
Source: RNAcentral